CAGUCGAGGGGCAGCGGGGAGGUAGCAAUACUUUCGCCGGCGACCGGCGCACGGGUGAGUAACACGUAUGGAACCUGCCCGUAGCAGGGGGAUAAGCGGAAGAAAUUCCGUCUAAUACCGCGUAAUAACUCCGAGAGGCAUCUCAUGGAGUUUAAAGGGUAACACCGGCUACGGAUGGCCAUGCGGCGCAUUAGCUAGUUGGCGGGGUAACGGCCCACCAAGGCGACGAUGCGUAGGGGUUCUGAGAGGAAGGUCCCCCACACUGGUACUGAGACACGGACCAGACUCCUACGGGAGGCAGCAGUGAGGAAUAUUGGUCAAUGGGCGCGAGCCUGAACCAGCCAAGUCGCGUGAGGGAAGACGGUCCUAUGGAUUGUAAACCUCUUUUGUCGGGGAGCAAAAGACGCCACGCGUGGCGUUCCGAGAGUACCCGAAGAAAAAGCAUCGGCUAACUCCGUGCCAGCAGCCGCGGUAAUACGGAGGAUGCGAGCGUUAUCCGGAUUUAUUGGGUUUAAAGGGUGCGCAGGCGGAAGAUCAAGUCAGCGGUAAAAUUGAGAGGCUCAACCUCUUCGAGCCGUUGAAACUGGUUUUCUUGAGUGAGCGAGAAGUAUGCGGAAUGCGUGGUGUAGCGGUGAAAUGCAUAGAUAUCACGCAGAACUCCGAUUGCGAAGGCAGCAUACCGGCGCUCAACUGACGCUCAUGCACGAAAGUGUGGGUAUCGAACAGGGUUAGAUACCCUGGUAGUCCACACAGUAAACGAUGAAUACUAAUUGUUCGGGGAGAAUGAUCCCUGAGUGAUACAGCGAAAGC
RNAcentral lists this ribosomal RNA (810 nucleotides) under uncultured bacterium. Its description in RNAcentral is "bacterial SSU rRNA". It matches the Rfam family "Bacterial small subunit ribosomal RNA", at positions 59 to 858 of the family's 1533-position model. The record is from RNAcentral.